UGGUGUCUGUCCUGCAUGUCUUUCGAGAGAUGAAUGGUGCUGUCGAUUAGGUCGCUUCUUACAUGAUUGAAUAUACUGGUGAUUGGAUCUGAUGUUAGGGUCAAACAUAUGCGCAAGUCUUGUAAGAUAUUUUAUUUUCUAAUUUUAUAGAUGUACUCAUACUAGAGUGGUGUGAGGGCCUGCUUGUACCAAAAAAGAAAGAAGCAAAGA
Molecule: long non-coding RNA, 210 nt
Filed under: Elaeis guineensis (African oil palm)
Lineage: Eukaryota; Viridiplantae; Streptophyta; Magnoliopsida; Arecales; Arecaceae
Description: long non-coding RNA (EGUI_LNC004647)
Source: RNAcentral